Platichthys flesus (European flounder) is the source of this 2178-nucleotide long non-coding RNA. RefSeq lists it as uncharacterized. The transcript is spliced from 4 exons. Lineage: Eukaryota; Metazoa; Chordata; Actinopteri; Pleuronectiformes; Pleuronectidae. The record is from RefSeq and is a predicted model, not a curated record.
AAACUAUCUGUCGUGGGUAAUGUCCGCACACUUCCCCAUUGGCGUUAUGGAUGAUACUGUACUUGUAAUCUCUGGCAAAUAACUCCAGACAACGCCUCUCUAUCGCCUCUACCUGAAGAAAGACAACAACAAACAUAUAUGAAUGCACACCGUAAAGAUUCAAGAAGCAGCAUCAACAACUAAUGGGUUCAGCAUCUUGCCCAAGGACACUUCGGCAUGCAGAUCGUUCAGACUGGGGAUCGAACUGCCGACCUUCAGGUUUGAGGACGACCACUCUACCCCUCAGCCACAGCUGCCUAAUAGGCAGCAAAGCAGCCACAGACCAUCCCCACCCACAUUACUGCCACCAUGCUUGACAGAUGGCGUCAGGCACUCUUCCAGCAUCUUUUCACCUGUUCUGGGUCUCACAAAUGUUCUUCUGUGUGAUCCAAACACCUCAAACUUUGAUUCUUCCGUCCAUAAAUUUUUUUUCCAAACUUCCUCUGUCUAUGUCUGUGUUCCUUGACCAUAUCAAUCUUUUAUUUUUAUUGGGCAUUCUCAGAUAUUUCUUAUUCUUUGCCACUCUGCCUAGAAGGCCAGCAUCCCGGAGUCGCCUCUUCACUGUAGACGUUGAUACUGGCAUUUUGCGGGUACCAUUUAAAGAAGCUGCCAGUUGAGGACUUUUGAGGUGUCAAUUUCUCAAACUAGAGUCUCUAAUAUACUUGUCUUCUUGCUGAGUUGUGCAUCUGGGCCUCCCACUUUUCUUUCUACUCUGGUUAGAGCCAGUUUGUGGUGUUCUCUGAAGGGAGUAGUACACACAUGAAAGUUCUCAUUUUCUGGCCAUUUCGAGAGAAUAAUCAAACCCACAAAUGUGAUGCUCCAGAUACUCAACUAGCUCAAAGGAAGGCCAGUUUUAUAGCUUCUCUUACCAGCUAAACAGUUUUCAGCUGUGCUAACAUAAUUGCACAAAUGGUUUUCAAGGUUUUUCUAAUCAUCAAUUAGUCUUCUAAGGCGAUUAGCAAACACAAUGUACCAUUAGAACACUGGACAUACCUUUGUGGAUUUUUCCUUAAAAACCAGACAUUUCCACCGAGAAUAGUCAUUUACCACAUUAACAAUGUAUAGAGUGUAUUUCUGAUUAAUUUAAUGUUGAUUUCAUUGAAAAAUACAGUGCUUUUCUUUGAAUAAUAAGGACAUUUCUAAGUGACCCCAAACUUUUGAACGGUAGUGUAAAUUCUGACCCAAAAGGGUUAGGGUUAUGGUUAGGGUUAGUUCUGUAGUAAUCAAAAGUUGCACAGUAACAAGGUUGUGCAAUGCGUUGAGUAACUGGCACCCACUUGACAUAGAUGUAAGAAGUAAAAAGGGGGAAGUUUUUUACUAACCCACUGCUGCUGCAACACUUUGUUUACUUAACCAACGCUGAAUGGCAAUAACCUUUACUAUAUAAUGCUUUCAGUGGUCAUCAAGACUAGAAAAGCUUUUUAUGAAUACAGAACAUUUACCAUUUAGCCAACCUAAAACUCACACAAGCUCUGCCUUCCCCAUAAAUAUAAGCUACAGUGGUUUACAUCAAUUCAAAUUUACUUCUCUCUGUCGUUUGGGGGUGCUGUUGUGCAGAUGACCUUCCCUGAACUAUAAAUGUGUUUAUUGCUAACUUGGAUGUUUGUGCUAUAUUGUUCGGAGUGAUGUCUGUGGAGAUAGUCCUCCAGAGAUCAGACGAUGAGACAGGACUCUCUCUUGCAGUAUUUAGUAUUGCCAAGAGUGUGCAAAGCUGUCAUGCAAGCAAAAAGUCAGCUACUUUGACGAAUCUAAAAUAGGAAAAAUAUUCUGGUUUGUUGAGCAUUUUUUUUGUUUACCACAUAAUUCCAUAUGUGUUCCUUCAUAGUUUGGAUUUCUUCAAUAUUAAUCUGCAAUGUAGAAAGAAAGAAAAAUAAAGAAAAAACAUUGAAUGAGAAGGUGUAUUCAAACUUUUGACUGGUAGUGUUCAGUGACAUACUUUUGACCAUAGAUUGCAGUGGAACUGCACAUUUCUCUUACAAGUUGUUGCACAGUCUAUGACUUUGUGAGUUAGGGCCUUUUCUCGAAGGUUUGACAGCUGCUUGGCAAAAAUUUCAAAACAACUGUAAAAGGAAACAAUUAUGGAGUCAUUUUAAAUACAGAGGAAAAAACACAUUAAUUUAUAUAAACAUUUUAUGCGAA